RNAcentral lists this ribosomal RNA (490 nucleotides) under uncultured Bacillus sp. RNAcentral's name for it is "bacterial SSU rRNA". It matches the Rfam family "Bacterial small subunit ribosomal RNA", at positions 28 to 498 of the family's 1533-position model. Lineage: Bacteria; Bacillati; Bacillota; Bacilli; Caryophanales; Bacillaceae. The record is from RNAcentral.
GACGAACGCUGGCGGCGUGCCUAAUACAUGCAAGUCGAGCGAAUCUGAUGGGAGCUUGCUCCCUGAUGAUUAGCGGCGGACGGGUGAGUAACACGUGGGUAACCUGCCUGUAAGACUGGGAUAACUCCGGGAAACCGGGGCUAAUACCGGAUAACUUUUUUCUUCGCAUGAGGGAGAAUUGAAAGAUGGCCUCGGCUAUCACUUACAGAUGGACCCGCGGCGCAUUAGCUAGUUGGUGAGGUAACGGCUCACCAAGGCGACGAUGCGUAGCCGACUUGAGAGGGUGAUCGGCCACACUGGGACUGAGACACGGCCCAGACUCCUACGGGAGGCAGCAGUAGGGAAUCUUCCGCAAUGGACGAAAGUCUGACGGAGCAACGCCGCGUGAGUGAUGAAGGUUUUCGGAUCGUAAAACUCUGUUGUUAGGGAAGAACAAGUAUCGUUCGAAUAGGGCGGUACCUUGACGGUACCUAACCAGAAAGCCACGGCU